Long non-coding RNA from Talpa occidentalis (Iberian mole), 504 nucleotides. RefSeq lists it as uncharacterized. The transcript is spliced from 3 exons. The record is from RefSeq and is a predicted model, not a curated record. Lineage: Eukaryota; Metazoa; Chordata; Mammalia; Eulipotyphla; Talpidae.
CCUUGGUUGACCUUCGGAGGACCCCUAGUCCUUUCUCACUGCACUCUCUGGGUCCUGUGUCAGGCUGUGGUUAUUUGUGUCUUGAUCUGGUUGCCUCACUGGGUCAUGGAGUCCCGGAGGGCAGGGGUUGGGAGGAGGCCUUGGCAUCAUUGGCUGCAGAUUCCCGCCUGUUCUGCAGGGAGGUGCAGUGGCCCGACCACAUCUGGAGCAUUGUACUUCAUUCUGGGAGCCACAGUUGAGCGAGGACAUUGACAAAUGGGAUGGCAUUUGGAGGAGGGGACUGCGAUGCCCCAGGCUGACAGGCCCAUGUAAACGACAGUGAUGGAUGGCUGCAGGCUGGGUCCCUUAAUCUACCUCUCUGCCAUUGAUUAGUUUGGCUCGCAACGCACCCCGGGGUGGUGGACGUGACCUGUCUCCUAGAAUCGAGGACCUGAGCUGGGCCCUUGGACAUGGAGGAGACUCUGCGAGGAGAGCGGGGGAGAGCCGAGGGGAGCGAGCUGGCGA